GAAAAGGAUUUAUUCGCUUCAGGAUGGACUCGCGUCCAAUUAGCUAGUUGGUGAGGUAACGGCCCACCAAGGCGACGAUUGGUAGCCGGACUGAGAGGUUGAACGGCCACAUUGGGACUGAGACACGGCCCAGACUCCUACGGGAGGCAGCAGUGGGGGAUAUUGCACAAUGGGGGAAACCCUGAUGCAGCGACGCCGCGUGGAGGAAGAAGGUUUUCGGAUUGUAAACUCCUGUCGUUAGGGACGAUAAUGACGGUACCUAACAAGAAAGCACCGGCUAACUACGUGCCAGCAGCCGCGGUAAAACGUAGGGUGCAAGCGUUGUCCGGAAUUACUGGGUGUAAAGGGAGCGCAGGCGGGAAGACAAGUUGGAAGUGAAAACCAUGGGCUCAACCCAUGAAUUGCUUUCAAAACUGUUUUUCUUGAGUAGUGCAGAGGUAGAUGGAAUUCCCGGUGUAGCGGUGGAAUGCGUAGAUAUCGGGAGGAACACCAGUGGCGAAGGCGGUCUACUGGGCACCAACUGACGCUGAGGCUCGAAAGCAUGGGUAGCAAACAGGAUUAGAUACCCUGGUAGUCCAUGCCGUAAACGAUGAUUACUAGGUGUUGGGGGAUUGACCCCCUCAGUGCC
RNAcentral lists this ribosomal RNA (628 nucleotides) under uncultured bacterium. RNAcentral describes it as "bacterial SSU rRNA". It matches the Rfam family "Bacterial small subunit ribosomal RNA", at positions 201 to 847 of the family's 1533-position model. The record is from RNAcentral.